Molecule: long non-coding RNA, 1673 nt
Organism: Lactuca sativa (garden lettuce)
Lineage: Eukaryota; Viridiplantae; Streptophyta; Magnoliopsida; Asterales; Asteraceae
Source: RefSeq, a predicted model, not a curated record
UAUAAACCGAUAUAUACAUAUAUACCUUCAUUCGUCAUCAUAUAUACCUUCAUUCGUCAUUUCUAAAUAUGGCCUCGAUCAUAAAAGGGGGAGGACUUGUCUUGGUUCUUAUCAUCCUUAUCUUCAUUAGCUCAUCUUCUCACACCAUAGCAACCGCCAGAAGCCCAUACAACCGUGCUCGUCAACUAGCUACAGAUUGCGAUUCGCCGAGGCAAGGAGAUAUAGUCGGGUGUGGUGGUGGAAGUAGUGGAUCAGCAAAACCAAAACGAAAACCAUGUGGUUCAGCACCAGGUUCGAGCCGUUGUAAGAAGGGUUGCUGUGGAAAGACAAAAUUUGGAGAUACCAUCUGCUGCUAGUAGCAUUGGAGGGUGUGCCUCAUUAAUUAAAUGCUCUAUCGGAAUCCCAUGUUUAGAUUGUCAAAUAAAAUAAAUUGAUAUAAUUUCCAAUUCUUUUUUACUAUUUGUGCAAGUUCCAUAUCUGUGAUCGCAAAAGCUUUUAUACGUCAGGCAUGUUGAUUAUCAAUAUUCUCAUUGAAUUAAAACUGAGUCAUGUAAUAUGCAUAAAUACAAAUCACCCAUGUCCCAUGAGAGUGUGAGACAUACACCGUGGGCCUAGAACAAUGAAACAAAUAUAAUUUCACUACAAGAAAUACCACCUAUGCCGACGACAUUUAUAUGUGUCGUCGGUAAAACUCAACAUAUUCCGACGACAUGUCGUCGGUCCGAGCGGACCAAAAUUCUUUGACCUUGAACACCAUGCCGAAUCUGAAAAGGGUAGGCGGGAAUGAAAUAUAUUUUUCGCGGUUUUCUGAAAUGUAUGCCGAUGACAAGUCGUCGAUAUAGGUAACGGAAAUUUUAAUUUCCUAUUUUCUUAUAAGUCGUGUUCCAGUAACUAAAAACGAUAUCGUUGUUCUGUAACUUUUCCCGACGACAGGUUGUCGGUAAAACAAAUAGCGAUCCAUGUGAACUCUAUGCCGAUGACAUGCAUGUCGUCGGUAUAAGGUUCAUAUUUUUUAUUAUUUUUUUACUUGCGAGAAAACGAUACGACGUCGUAAUAUUUAGUCCGUAUGCCGACGACUUGUGGUCUGUAUAGGGUUUUAACCCCAAUAUGGCUGGUUUGUCUCCCUCAUUUGCAGCCAUCAUAAUCUUACACUUCUCUCUCGAAAUCCCAUCUGCAGACCAGACGCCUCCUUGACCUUCGAGAGCCGGUAUAGGGUCUCACUAGAGGACCACCACCGACCUCACUCUCUUUCCAACCUCUCUCAGACCAUCGACAUCAGAUCACCAUCAUCUAUUGUAAGAGGAAAAAGAACCCCAAGGCAGAAUUUGAACCAAGGGCAAAAGGGGCAUCACAAAGAAGUGAAUAUUUGGAAAUUUGCAGAAGCAAAGAUCAUGAUGCAUCUAUGCCUAAGGCCAUAUCCUCUAAAAUCAACAAUUUGGGUGCAGUUGAAGGUAUAACAUGAAUCCUCCAUGUUUUUUGAGUGUAUAUGGAAUCGAGGGUAUUUUGGUCUUUUUGUAAUAUAUGUCGAUUUACUUGUUCAUAAAAGUUAGAAAAGUCAAGAUCUAAGGAGAACCAAACAACAGGAGAUAUAGAGAGCAGCUUAAAUGAUUCCAUGUCUAAAAAACAGGUUUGGUAAAUAUAAAAAAUAUGUGGAAGAAAAACACAUAUAUCAA